CUCAGCGUCCAUGCAAAAAUCUGCAAAGACAGGACGAGCAAACAAUAAGCGCAGAAUGAAAUGCACAGUCCACAAACACUCGGAAAAACAGAACUUACCACCGAGAAGAGCUAUCAUCUUCCGGGCCCAGUCACUGACGUAAUUUUCCUCUGCUAUGCACCGCCUGUUCAACACUUUCAUUUGUCCCAUCAGCUCGGUCCUUUGUUUCCCCAUUUUAUCCACUUCAGCAGUCAAUGCCUUGUUUGCCUCACGGGCCUCCUCCAAGGACUUUUCUCGUUCAGCCAGA
This 286-nucleotide long non-coding RNA is filed under the name Hordeum vulgare. Its description in RNAcentral is "long non-coding RNA (HVUL_LNC013807)". The record is from RNAcentral. Lineage: Eukaryota; Viridiplantae; Streptophyta; Magnoliopsida; Poales; Poaceae.